UUUAUUGGAGAGUUUGAUCCUGGCUCAGGAUGAACGCUGGCGGCGUGCCUAAUACAUGCAAGUCGAGCGAAUGGAUUAAGAGCUUGCUCUUAUGAAGUUAGCGGCGGACGGGUGAGUAACACGUGGGUAACCUGCCCAUAAGACUGGGAUAACUCCGGGAAACCGGGGCUAAUACCGGAUAACAUUUUGAACUGCAUGGUUCGAAAUUGAAAGGCGGCUUCGGCUGUCACUUAUGGAUGGACCCGCGUCGCAUUAGCUAGUUGGUGAGGUAACGGCUCACCAAGGCAACGAUGCGUAGCCGACCUGAGAGGGUGAUCGGCCACACUGGGACUGAGACACGGCCCAGACUCCUACGGGAGGC
RNAcentral lists this ribosomal RNA (361 nucleotides) under Bacillus cereus. RNAcentral describes it as "bacterial SSU rRNA". It matches the Rfam family "Bacterial small subunit ribosomal RNA", at positions 1 to 349 of the family's 1533-position model. The record is from RNAcentral. RNAcentral also lists the same sequence under 1 other name. Lineage: Bacteria; Bacillati; Bacillota; Bacilli; Caryophanales; Bacillaceae.